CCAAAUUCCAUGCUACCCAAGAAAGAAGGCUUUUCUUUACUUCUUAACAAUCAAAUUCUGAUGAAGCCUAAGUACAGUCAAAACUCUCAGUGAGGAGAAGUGCAAAAGACAGUGUGUGAUAAGGAAUAUGAUCGGAAAGACUAAAGCUUCUAUGAGAGGCUCCAUGGCAGACCCCCUCAAAAAAAGAUCCUGCAAGACACUGAGGCUCCAUCUGCUGUCAGCACUACCUGAGAAAGAAUUGAGGCAGCUGAAACCACGGCCCCCCAAAUGGUCUGCUGACCUUCCUGAGAGACUAAGCUAGAACCUAAGAUGAGACAAUGCUUUGCUGUGUGGAUGGAGAGAAAGAAUUCCAGAAACUGACAAGAAGUCAAUUGCUUUCCCUUUACUCCCAGCUUGAAUAUAGGAUACAAAGCAACUCUCCAAUAUCUAUAAACUUCAGGCUACUCAGAACUAUAUGGAUAAGAACACGUGACUUACAUGCCCACAUUAGACCAACACCCUUAACAGAGUAUUAA
Long non-coding RNA from Mustela erminea (ermine), 515 nucleotides. RefSeq lists it as uncharacterized. Lineage: Eukaryota; Metazoa; Chordata; Mammalia; Carnivora; Mustelidae. The record is from RefSeq and is a predicted model, not a curated record. The transcript has 4 exons.